CACUGAACGACCCUGGUCCGAGAUGUCAGUGACAACAGCCUCACACUGACAUUGACGCUUGGUGACGUUGUAUCCACACGACACUAUGUAAAGGGGGAAUAAAGGGAAACCUCAGUCACAACCCAUCCUCAUCAAUGGUUAUGUACAUUUCCAAUGGAUUUUCUGUGGUGUUCUUCUGUUUCAUUUGCACCGUUCCUCAAACACUGAAUAAAAUUCCAACUUCAUACCUCCAGAUGUCUGUAUUAGAGCUCAUAUACUGGGUGUGUGAUAUGCUUCUUCAGUCAGUGUUAUGGCAUAUGCCUUUGGUCUACAAUAAAUGACAUUUGCUCCAAA
Long non-coding RNA from Sinocyclocheilus rhinocerous, 333 nucleotides. RefSeq lists it as uncharacterized. The record is from RefSeq and is a predicted model, not a curated record. The transcript is spliced from 2 exons. NCBI's taxonomy places the organism in Eukaryota, Metazoa, Chordata, Actinopteri, Cypriniformes, Cyprinidae.